RNAcentral lists this transfer RNA (65 nucleotides) under Physella acuta. RNAcentral describes it as "transfert RNA-Y(TAC)". The record is from RNAcentral. Lineage: Eukaryota; Metazoa; Mollusca; Gastropoda; Physidae.
UUUUUGGUGGCAGAUGUGUAGUGCAUGUCAUUGUAAAUGGCAAUAAGAAGAAAGUUCCCGAUAAA